RNAcentral lists this ribosomal RNA (476 nucleotides) under uncultured bacterium. RNAcentral describes it as "bacterial SSU rRNA". It matches the Rfam family "Bacterial small subunit ribosomal RNA", at positions 26 to 507 of the family's 1533-position model. The record is from RNAcentral.
AGGACGAACGCUGGCGGCGUGCCUAACACAUGCAAGUCGAGCGGAGAUCAUGGAGAGCUUGCUCAAAAUGAUUUUAGCGGCGGACGGGUGAGUAACGCGUGAGUAACCUGCCCUUAACUGUGGGAUAACACACCGAAAGGUGUGCUAAUACCGCAUAACGUGUUUGGGUGGCAUCGCCUGAACACCAAAGGAGCAAUCCGCUGAAAGAUGGCUUCGCGUCUGAUUAGCUAGAUGGCGGGGUAACGGCCCACCAUGGCGACGAUCAGUAGCCGGUCUGAGAGGAUGAACGGCCACAUUGGGACUGAGAUACGGCCCAGACUCCUACGGGAGGCAGCAGGUGGGGAAUAUUGGGCAAUGGGGGAAACCCUGACCCAGCAACGCCGCGUGAAGGAAGAAGGCCUUCGGGUUGUAAACUUCUUUUAGCAGGGACGAAGAACGUGACGGUACCUGCAGAAAAAGCAACGGCUAACUACGUG